GACGAACGCUGGCGGCGUGCCUAAUACAUGCAAGUCGAACGCAUUUUCUUUCACCGUAGCUUGCUACACCGAAAGAAAAUGAGUGGCGAACGGGUGAGUAACACGUGGGUAACCUGCCCAUCAGCGGGGGAUAACACUUGGAAACAGGUGCUAAUACCGCAUAAUUCCAUUUACCGCAUGGUAGAUGGAUGAAAGGCGCUUUUGCGUCACUGAUGGAUGGACCCGCGGUGCAUUAGCUAGUUGGUGGGGUAACGGCCUACCAAGGCUGCGAUGCAUAGCCGACCUGGGAGGGUGAUCGGCCACACUGGGACUGAGACACGGCCCAGACUCCUACGGGAGGCAGCAGUAGGGAAUCUUCGGCAAUGGACACAAGUCUGACCGAGCAACGCCGCGUGAGUGAAGAAGGUUUUCGGAUCGUAAAACUCUGUUGUUAGAGAAGAAAAAGGAUGAGAGUGGAAAGUUCAUCCCUUGACGGUUUCUAACCAGAAAGCCACGGCUAACUACGUG
RNAcentral lists this ribosomal RNA (507 nucleotides) under uncultured bacterium. Its description in RNAcentral is "partial 16S ribosomal RNA". It matches the Rfam family "Bacterial small subunit ribosomal RNA", at positions 28 to 507 of the family's 1533-position model. The record is from RNAcentral.